RNAcentral lists this ribosomal RNA (1955 nucleotides) under Staphylococcus aureus. RNAcentral's name for it is "partial 23S ribosomal RNA". It matches the Rfam family "Bacterial large subunit ribosomal RNA", at positions 946 to 2904 of the family's 2925-position model. The record is from RNAcentral. Lineage: Bacteria; Bacillati; Bacillota; Bacilli; Caryophanales; Staphylococcaceae.
CAGACAAACUCCGAAUGCCAAUUAAUUUAACUUGGGAGUCAGAACAUGGGUGAUAAGGUCCGUGUUCGAAAGGGAAACAGCCCAGACCACCAGCUAAGGUCCCAAAAUAUAUGUUAAGUGGAAAAGGAUGUGGCGUUGCCCAGACAACUAGGAUGUUGGCUUAGAAGCAGCCAUCAUUUAAAGAGUGCGUAAUAGCUCACUAGUCGAGUGACACUGCGCCGAAAAUGUACCGGGGCUAAACAUAUUACCGAAGCUGUGGAUUGUCCUUUGGACAAUGGUAGGAGAGCGUUCUAAGGGCGUUGAAGCAUGAUCGUAAGGACAUGUGGAGCGCUUAGAAGUGAGAAUGCCGGUGUGAGUAGCGAAAGACGGGUGAGAAUCCCGUCCACCGAUUGACUAAGGUUUCCAGAGGAAGGCUCGUCCGCUCUGGGUUAGUCGGGUCCUAAGCUGAGGCCGACAGGCGUAGGCGAUGGAUAACAGGUUGAUAUUCCUGUACCACCUAUAAUCGUUUUAAUCGAUGGGGGGACGCAGUAGGAUAGGCGAAGCGUGCGAUUGGAUUGCACGUCUAAGCAGUAAGGCUGAGUAUUAGGCAAAUCCGGUACUCAUUAAGGCUGAGCUGUGAUGGGGAGAAGACAUUGUGUCUUCGAGUCGUUGAUUUCACACUGCCGAGAAAAGCCUCUAGAUAGAAAAUAGGUGCCCGUACCGCAAACCGACACAGGUAGUCAAGAUGAGAAUUCUAAGGUGAGCGAGCGAACUCUCGUUAAGGAACUCGGCAAAAUGACCCCGUAACUUCGGGAGAAGGGGUGCUCUUUAGGGUUAACGCCCAGAAGAGCCGCAGUGAAUAGGCCCAAGCGACUGUUUAUCAAAAACACAGGUCUCUGCUAAACCGUAAGGUGAUGUAUAGGGGCUGACGCCUGCCCGGUGCUGGAAGGUUAAGAGGAGUGGUUAGCUUCUGCGAAGCUACGAAUCGAAGCCCCAGUAAACGGCGGCCGUAACUAUAACGGUCCUAAGGUAGCGAAAUUCCUUGUCGGGUAAGUUCCGACCCGCACGAAAGGCGUAACGAUUUGGGCACUGUCUCAACGAGAGACUCGGUGAAAUCAUAGUACCUGUGAAGAUGCAGGUUACCCGCGACAGGACGGAAAGACCCCGUGGAGCUUUACUGUAGCCUGAUAUUGAAAUUCGGCACAGCUUGUACAGGAUAGGUAGGAGCCUUUGAAACGUGAGCGCUAGCUUACGUGGAGGCGCUGGUGGGAUACUACCCUAGCUGUGUUGGCUUUCUAACCCGCACCACUUAUCGUGGUGGGAGACAGUGUCAGGCGGGCAGUUUGACUGGGGCGGUCGCCUCCUAAAAGGUAACGGAGGCGCUCAAAGGUUCCCUCAGAAUGGUUGGAAAUCAUUCAUAGAGUGUAAAGGCAUAAGGGAGCUUGACUGCGAGACCUACAAGUCGAGCAGGGUCGAAAGACGGACUUAGUGAUCCGGUGGUUCCGCAUGGAAGGGCCAUCGCUCAACGGAUAAAAGCUACCCCGGGGAUAACAGGCUUAUCUCCCCCAAGAGUUCACAUCGACGGGGAGGUUUGGCACCUCGAUGUCGGCUCAUCGCAUCCUGGGGCUGUAGUCGGUCCCAAGGGUUGGGCUGUUCGCCCAUUAAAGCGGUACGCGAGCUGGGUUCAGAACGUCGUGAGACAGUUCGGUCCCUAUCCGUCGUGGGCGUAGGAAAUUUGAGAGGAGCUGUCCUUAGUACGAGAGGACCGGGAUGGACAUACCUCUGGUGUACCAGUUGUCGUGCCAACGGCAUAGCUGGGUAGCUAUGUGUGGACGGGAUAAGUGCUGAAAGCAUCUAAGCAUGAAGCCCCCCUCAAGAUGAGAUUUCCCAACUUCGGUUAUAAGAUCCCUCAAAGAUGAUGAGGUUAAUAGGUUCGAGGUGGAAGCAUGGUGACAUGUGGAGCUGACGAAUACUAA